Molecule: long non-coding RNA, 571 nt
Organism: Humulus lupulus (European hop)
Lineage: Eukaryota; Viridiplantae; Streptophyta; Magnoliopsida; Rosales; Cannabaceae
Exons: 2
Source: RefSeq, a predicted model, not a curated record
CACUGUCGAAGCUACUAGGUGAGAGCCAACAAUGGCGUCCUCCGCUGCCAGGCCUGGCUCAUCCUCCAUCAUCAGCCGGACUCUCUCCCCUUCUCUUUCUUAUACCUCAUUCUCGAUUUUCCAUCGCUUAGCUUCGGUGUUAGCUCAGUAAAUGUUCAUGUCCGGUUCCAGAUUUCCGGGUCAAGUUACUCGCCGCCGAACGACCCGGCUCCGAACUGGAGCAACCGCCCGCCUAAGGAGACUAUCCUUCUAGAUGACUGUGAUACGAUCACUGGCUUAUAGUAAUGGAGUUAGCCAAUCACCCCAAACUACCUGGGGAUGAAAUGGUCAAUUCUUAUGUCAAAACCCUUGCCACUGUUCUUGGGAGUGAGAAGGAGGCAAAGAAGAAGAUAUACUCUGUUUCCGCUACUACAUAUACAGGUUUUGGUGCUUUAAUUUCAGGGUAGCUUUCUAUCAAAGUAAAAGGAAUAGUUUUAUUAUUACUUUAAAUUUUGGAUUUUUGUUGUCGAGUACUCAUUUGUUUUAGAGAUGUUAUUGUUUUAAUAAGAUUUUGAUUGUCUGUUGUUAUGCA